ACCCACGUAUUCUUUUCUCUCUGAAAUUUUUCCCCAGCAGCACCGCCCGCCCUUCUCCUAUCUCCCUGCUCGCCCUGCCUCUUCUUCCUUGAGCCGUGCCCGGUGCUCCUCCACCAAGCCUCGCCGGCGUACUCUCCUGGCCGUGGUCGGAUCUGUCCCCCUGCUUCCUAUUCCCAGCUCCCUACCCCUCUCCAUGGCGUCGCCCAGCUCCAGCUCGCCCCCCUCUGAUCUACACGCAGGGGUUUCUUCCAUGGCGAGCUCCCCCAGGCCAGCCGCCAUAUGUGCAGUGGGGGAUAGCUUCUCGGUCCUCCGUCGAAAGAUCAAGUGUUGCUGAUCAAUUUUUAAGCAAGAAAUCUGGUAUGACGCAUGACAAGGUUGUCUGCUAUGGCAUACAACUAUGUCUCUAUUUCAUCCUAUAAUGAGUU
Zea mays is the source of this 425-nucleotide long non-coding RNA. RefSeq lists it as uncharacterized. Lineage: Eukaryota; Viridiplantae; Streptophyta; Magnoliopsida; Poales; Poaceae. The record is from RefSeq and is a predicted model, not a curated record. The transcript has 2 exons.